CUGAUGGGCGUUAUCUAGUAUAGUAAACUAAACGUUUAAAACCAUUUUCUCUUCACGAUUGAACUGACGUAGACUAGACAAGUGGGUGGCAAUUAGACGUCGUUCUUUUUGUUUCUGAAGAUCAGUCUGAGUCUACGUUCGAGCGGGUUAAAAUGGCUAAGUUAUCCUUUAUUUUCUUCGUUUUGCUGCCUGUGUUAUUUCUCACCUGCAGAGCUGAAGAAUCAGAAGUAAGAAUGGAAAAUCUCCAAGCUGGAUUCUGGAAUCUGCCUCAACAGAACCCAUUUCGAGAAGACCUUGAACGUAAUCCAGGGACAUUGUUGGGACAGUUCACAAAUAAUGCGGAUAUACAACGAAUGAGGCAAGGAUAUUUACGAGACGGUGUGAGACCCACAGCAGAAAGCUUGGAAGCGAGAAGCAAACGGGCUGCCAAGCAAGGGACCAAUUGAUUCAUAUUCAUUCGAAAGGAAUAAACAAGGCAGGUUUCAACAUAAACCAAGACUAUGGAGUGGUUGAACUCUCACUGAAAAUGGCUCGUUUUAGCUGCUUUCACUACACGGAGACCAGCAGACAACAAAAGUCACAUUAUUUAUGGCCCGCAUAGAACAUUUCUCUUAUAACAUAAUUUGCAUGCUCAAAACAAGGACAACAGCUGAGACAGCAGUGUUUGCUGAUGAAACCAACAUCAGAUGUUAAACACAAAAAAUGCAAUGCUUUUUAUUAGAUCUGAAAACAUAUAUUCAUCACCUGGCAAAAGUAGAAAAAAAAAGAAAGAUCCAAAAUAAUCAACUGGCC
This is a long non-coding RNA of Uloborus diversus, 792 nucleotides long. RefSeq lists it as uncharacterized. The record is from RefSeq and is a predicted model, not a curated record. The transcript is spliced from 4 exons. Lineage: Eukaryota; Metazoa; Arthropoda; Arachnida; Araneae; Uloboridae.